RNAcentral lists this ribosomal RNA (268 nucleotides) under uncultured bacterium. RNAcentral's name for it is "partial 16S ribosomal RNA". It matches the Rfam family "Bacterial small subunit ribosomal RNA", at positions 524 to 777 of the family's 1533-position model. The record is from RNAcentral.
UACAGAGGUCUCAAGCGUUGUUCGGAUUCAUUGGGUCGGUAAAGGGUGUGUGAGGUUGGCGCCGUAAGUCGGGGUGAUUGAAAUUUCGGUAGCUUAACUCCGAAACUGCAUUCGAUACUGGCGGUGCUUGAGGACUGGAUGAGGAGGACUGGAAUUCAUGGUGUAGCAGUGAAAUGCGUAGAGAUCAUGAGGAAGACCAGUGGCGAAGGCGGGUCGCUGGACAAGUUCCUGACACUGAGACAGAAGGCCCAGGGGAGGCAAAACGGGA